This 433-nucleotide unclassified non-coding RNA is filed under the name soil metagenome. Its description in RNAcentral is "partial contains 5.8S ribosomal RNA, internal transcribed spacer 2, and large subunit ribosomal RNA". The stretch from base 1 to 120 matches the Rfam family "5.8S ribosomal RNA", at positions 35 to 154 of the family's 154-position model. The record is from RNAcentral.
GAUGAAGAACGUAGCGAAAUGCGAUACGUAAUGUGAAUUGCAGAAUUCAGUGAAUCAUCGAAUCUUUGAACGCAUAUUGCGCUCUCUGGUAUUCCGGAGAGCAUGCUUGUUUGAGUAUCAGUAAACACCUCAACUUCCAUAUCUUUUUUGAAAUGGGAGUUGGACUUGAGUGAUCCCAACGCUUUUCCUCAACGAAAAGUGGCGGGUUACUUGAAAUGCAGGUGCAGCUGGACUUUUCUCUGAGCUAUAAGCAUAUCUAUUUAGUCUGCCUAAAAAACAGAUUAUUACCUUUGCUGCAGCUAACAUAAAGGAGAUUAGUUCUUGUGCUGACUGAUGCAGGAUUCACAAAGACAGGCUUCGGCCGACUUUGUAAACUCGAUCUCAAAUCAAGUAAGACUACCCGCUGAACUUAAGCAUAUCAAUAAGCGGAGGA